GGUUUUGUUGAGAUCCGUCGGGGGCCGUCAAGGCUAAUGAGAUAGAAUGAAUGAGAAUUCAACCACCUGUAGUCGUGACGUCCCUUGUCCGAGGACUCGCAUUUGGGCCAUCCGCGCCGCUGCGGGAACGGGAGGCCAACAUCCACCGCGCACCAGCCCGAGCCCACAUGAAGCAGACUUGGGUUGGGGUGGUGACGAGAUGCGUGACGCCCAGGCAGACGUGCCCUCGGCCGGAUGGCCUCGGGCGCAACUUGCGUUCAAAAACUCGAUGAUUCACGGGAUUCUGCAAUUCACACCAAGUAUCGCAUUUUGCUACGUUCUUCAUCGAUGCGAGAGCCUAGAUAUCCGUUGCCGACAGUCGUAUUGGUUACGUUUUCAGACGCCGGCCCUCCGCCGCCGCGGAAUCCGCGGCGGGGGAGGGGGCGAUCCGUUUGAGUAGUCCUUGGCGCUUUCCGCGCCGAGAGUUGAGUUUGGUGCGAGGGCCUGCCGGAUUUCUUAGGCCCGGCCGGCGCCCCGCGGUUUUUGUUUAACGUGUUCGCGGUCGCUUGCAGGAUU
RNAcentral lists this unclassified non-coding RNA (555 nucleotides) under Galium sp. EM391. Its description in RNAcentral is "sequence contains ITS1, 5.8S rRNA gene, ITS2". Lineage: Eukaryota; Viridiplantae; Streptophyta; Magnoliopsida; Gentianales; Rubiaceae. The record is from RNAcentral.